AUGCAGGAUCAUCAUGUGAUUGCCUAUGCAUCUCGACAGUUGCAUCCACAUGAGGAAAAUUAUCCUACACAUGAUCUAGAGCUUGCAGCUGUAGUCUAUGCACUUAAGACUUGCCGACAUUACCAUCUUGGUAACCGUUGCGAAAUCUACACUGACCAUCAGAGUCUCAAGUAUAUCUUCACCCAACCGGAUCUGCAUCUCAGACAGAGCCGCUGGUUGGAGUUGAUCUUGGAUUACGACUUAGGAAUCACCUACACCCCAGGCAAAGCCAAUGUCAUGGCUGAUGCUUUAAGUCGUAAAUCCUAUUGCAACAACCUCAUGUUGCAACAAUGUCAACCACCCCUCCAUGAGGAAUUCUGUAAGCUUAACCUUCACAUAGCUCCUCAUGGUUCCCUUUCUACCUUGGUGGCGAAACCUACCCUUACGGAUCAGAUCAUAGAGGCUCAGAAGCAUGAUAGGGGAAUUUCCCGGAUCAAGAAAAAUAUUUCAAAGGGAGUUGCCAACUGUUUCUCUAUGGAUGAACGAGGUGUUGUUUACUUUGGAAACCGUUUGGUGGUUCCCAAAUGUCAACAAAUGCAGCAACUGAUCCUUAAGGAGGCCCAUGACUCUCCUCUCACGAUUCAUCCCGGUAGUACAAAGAUGUAUCAGGACCUACGCCAGAGGUUCUGGUGGACUAGGAUGAAGAGAGAAAUCGCUCAAUAUAUUGCCAACUGUGACGUUUGUCAUCGCAUUAAGGCAGAGCAUCAAAGACCUGCUGGCACCCUUCAACCUUUAGCUAUUCCUGAGUGGAAAUGGGACAAAGUUGGUAUCGACUUCAUCACCGGCUUUCCUAGGACCAAGAAAGGAAAUAAUGCUAUCUUCGUGGUCAUUGAUCGUCUUUCCAAAGUGGCUCACUUCCUACCUGUUUGA
RNAcentral lists this ribosomal RNA (909 nucleotides) under Triticum aestivum (bread wheat). Its description in RNAcentral is "partial small subunit ribosomal RNA". Lineage: Eukaryota; Viridiplantae; Streptophyta; Magnoliopsida; Poales; Poaceae. The record is from RNAcentral.